UAAUGUACGAUAUACAUAAAUGUAUUAUGUGGUAGAUAUUUUUAUGUACGUCAAGAAGUAGUUUAAUU
This 68-nucleotide transfer RNA is filed under the name Hylomyscus denniae (montane wood mouse). Its description in RNAcentral is "tRNA-Pro". The record is from RNAcentral. Lineage: Eukaryota; Metazoa; Chordata; Mammalia; Rodentia; Muridae.